UGGGGAAUUUUGGACAAUGGGCGAAAGCCUGAUCCAGCAAUGCCGCGUGUGUGAAGAAGGCCUUCGGGUUGUAAAGCACUUUUGUCCGGAAAGAAAUCCUUGGCUCUAAUACAGUCGGGGGAUGACGGUACCGGAAGAAUAAGCACCGGCUAACUACGUGCCAGCAGCCGCGGUAAUACGUAGGGUGCAAGCGUUAAUCGGAAUUACUGGGCGUAAAGCGUGCGCAGGCGGUUUGCUAAGACCGAUGUGAAAUCCCCGGGCUCAACCUGGGAACUGCAUUGGUGACUGGCAGGCUAGAGUAUGGCAGAGGGGGGUAGAAUUCCACGUGUAGCAGUGAAAUGCGUAGAGAUGUGGAGGAAUACCGAUGGCGAAGGCAGUCCCCUGGGCCUGCACUGACGCUCAUGCACGAAAGCGUGGGGAGCAAACAGGAUUAGAUACCCUGGUAGUCCACGCCCUAAACGAUGUCAACUGGUUGUUGGGAAGGUUCCUUCUCAGUAACGUAGCUAACGCGUGAAGUUGACCGCCUGGGGAGUACGGCCGCAAGGUUGAAACUCAAAUGAAUUGACGGGGU
This 571-nucleotide ribosomal RNA is filed under the name uncultured bacterium. Its description in RNAcentral is "partial 16S ribosomal RNA". It matches the Rfam family "Bacterial small subunit ribosomal RNA", at positions 355 to 919 of the family's 1533-position model. The record is from RNAcentral.